This is a long non-coding RNA of Aplysia californica (California sea hare), 1051 nucleotides long. RefSeq lists it as uncharacterized. The record is from RefSeq and is a predicted model, not a curated record. Lineage: Eukaryota; Metazoa; Mollusca; Gastropoda; Aplysiida; Aplysiidae. The transcript is spliced from 2 exons.
AUGAAGGAAGGGAGACAAAGACGAUAGAUGUUUGAUAGGAAAGAAGAAGCAAACCACACCAGAGCAUGCGCAGCCUCUCUUAUAACGACAGUAUUGUCGGGACCAGAAAAAUAAUGUCGUUAUUAUAGAGGGUUGUUGUAGAGGGUUGUUAUAGAGGGUUGUUAUAGAGGGUUGUUGUAGAGGGUUGUUGUAGAGGGUUGUUAUAGAGAGGCAACAAGAAAUGACUAAUGAUAUAUAAGGGGAAAAAUCCGGACCGGGGCACCAUGUGGCUAUACAGAGGAUGUGGUUCUAUCGGAGGUCGUUCUAGAGCGACCAUGUGGCUAUACAGAUGAUGUGGUUCUAUCGGAGGUCGUUCUAGAGCGACCAUGUGGCUAUACAGAGGAUGUGGUUCUAUCGGAGGUCGUUCUAGAGCGACCAUGUGGCUAUACAGAGGAUGUGGUUCUAUCGGAGGUCGUUCUAGAGCGGCUGCACUCUAGUUUUCUCCCUUUUACUUCCCCUCUCAGGAAGAAUUCACACCCGACGUGGGAGGAGAUUCACGUGGGAUUUCUUUUUUAGGAGGAGAAUCUUUUCCCUCCUGGCGCUGACAAAGUCAAUUGAAGUGAUUGCGGAAGAACUGACUUGGAAAAGGAGGAUCUUUUUCCCUCAUUGUUGUAGUCUUAGGCUCUGAGAAACUGAGGUGAAGUGAGUGAAGAACUAGAAGAACUGAUUUGUUUGUUUGUUGUUUUAGUAGAGUUUUUACGGCGCUCACAACUGCAUAAGGUCAUAUGAGCGCCAGAAAUGAUUUGUGAUAGAGAAGGCGUUCUGUCAUGAUGUAGAAGGAUGGUUUUUCUACACUUGCUUUUACAGUUAUAAAAUUUUUUUGUCUUUUUUUUUUUUUCAACCCAAAAUCAAGCAGUUUCUGAAAAAAAAAUUAUUAUAAGAUGGAUGAAAUGAAACAAGCGAAACUUAGGUUGAAACAGACGGGCAAAAACAAAUAAUUGUGACUUACGCCAUUUUCCCCUGUACACCUCAAAUGGAAACACGACUUAUUGGAGCAGCAUUAUCUGGAUUC